UUGCCAGCCGCCGCGGUAAUACAGAGGUCCCAAGCGUUGUUCGGAUUCACUGGGCGUAAAGGGUGCGUAGGCGGUCAGCUAAGUCUGAUGUGAAAUCUUCGAGCUCAACUCGGAAACUGCAUCGGAAACUAUCUGGCUCGAGGAUUGGAGGGGAGACUGGAAUUCUCGGUGUAGCAGUGAAAUGCGUAGAUAUCGAGAGGAACACCAGUGGCGAAGGCGAGUCUCUGGACAAUUCCUGACGCUGAGGCACGAAAGCUAGGGGAGCAAACAGGAUUAGAAACCCUAGUAGUCC
This 292-nucleotide ribosomal RNA is filed under the name uncultured bacterium. RNAcentral describes it as "partial 16S ribosomal RNA". It matches the Rfam family "Bacterial small subunit ribosomal RNA", at positions 505 to 796 of the family's 1533-position model. The record is from RNAcentral.